This 748-nucleotide long non-coding RNA is filed under the name Lotus japonicus. Its description in RNAcentral is "long non-coding RNA (LJAP_LNC002095)". The record is from RNAcentral. Lineage: Eukaryota; Viridiplantae; Streptophyta; Magnoliopsida; Fabales; Fabaceae.
CGGUAGUGACUUCACAUCUAGCUAACAAGGUACUGUCUACUAUUUAAAGACAAUGGGGGUGAGUUUGGUGAGUAUUAAUUUGGAUAAGUGCAUGAAUAUAGGAUUUUAAUUUAAUGUACUCACCUAUUUCAAUAAUGAUCUAUAGUUAUAUACACACCUCAUUUUUAAAAUACUUCAUUUUAACUUAUUUUUAUUUAUAUCCCUCUUCUCUAAUUAUCUAUCACAUCUUAUAUUUUCUCUCUCUCUUACUUUUUUUUCUUCUUUCUAUCUCUCUCAUCAUUCCACCUAAAAAAAGAUGUGAAAGAAACAUUAUUUCACACAUUUAUUUCUCUUUCAUUUUAUUUUCACGUACUUUUUAUUUUUAUUUUUACUUACUAUCAAAUUACCAUGUACUAUAUCUUUCACUUUUCUCCUAUUUGUUUUUGGUAUAAGUGUGGAUAAGUGUGGACUUUUUUCUUAUUGAUGAAUAUAUGACAAUCUACAAUUAAUAGUUAAUGUGAUGUGAAUAUGUUCAUAAAUUGAUAGCAGCCUGGUAGUUGAUUGAAUGACGUGUUUGCAGGAUACGAACUAAAAGACAAGAGGACAUGUCCAAAACCCAAUAGUCAUUUAUUUACUAUACAUUAUCGGGUCCUUCGACGAAGAUUGGUCAGACAUAGAUGCAGAAUAUAGACUUGUGGCAAGCAUAUGCUUCGUGACUCUCUUUACCCCAAUUUUCAAGUGCAAGUGGCUUCAAUUGAAUAAAGGUUGU